AUCUUUGCGCUUGGGGCAAUGACGCAGCUAAUGAGGUUCUAACCGAGGCGCGUCUAUUGCUGGUUGAAAACUAUUUCCAAACCCCCUCUUAGGCCUUGGCUCAGCCUUGUGCCUUCGAGAAUUUCUGCAAGGGCUCCCUUCGGGGUAAAGCC
This 152-nucleotide small nuclear RNA is filed under the name Prunus persica (peach). RNAcentral's name for it is "snRNA U4". It matches the Rfam family "U4 spliceosomal RNA". Rfam says of the family: U4 small nuclear RNA (U4 snRNA) is a component of the major U2-dependent spliceosome. The record is from Rfam by way of RNAcentral. Lineage: Eukaryota; Viridiplantae; Streptophyta; Magnoliopsida; Rosales; Rosaceae. RNAcentral also lists the same sequence under 1 other name.